This 2539-nucleotide long non-coding RNA is filed under the name Nicotiana benthamiana. Its description in RNAcentral is "long non-coding RNA (NBEN_LNC004757)". Lineage: Eukaryota; Viridiplantae; Streptophyta; Magnoliopsida; Solanales; Solanaceae. The record is from RNAcentral.
GAAGCAGCGUAUUUCUCGAGCGCAGGAUGAUGUGGACCUCCUUGUGAUUUACUUGAUCGUCAAGAAGAGUUAGUAGCGCUUCGGAUUGAUCACGAGGGACAACUUCUCUUGAUCACUCCUUCUUGUUUUCUUCAAUUCGAGGGACAAUGUAGUGUAUUUCUCGAACGAAACGAGUUCCUUGUGAUGUGUUGAAUCUUCAAUGAACUUCCAUCAGCACUUCAGAUUGAUCUUGAGGAAGAACGUCUCGUGGAUCUCUCCUUGCUUGAAAUCUUCAAUGAACUUCCAUCAGCACUUUAGAUUGAUCUUGAGGAAGAACGUCUCGUGGAUCUCUCCUGCUUGUUAGAGAACCUUGGAGAAAACUAUUACGUUGAUCCCUUCUUGUGAUCGAUUUUAGCACUAGCAUGGUUCGCUUCGGCCAUGUCAUUAGCAUCAAUGAUGAUCUUUCCAUCUCUCUCCAACGUCAUGAUCUUCUCCUUUAAGACGAAGCAUCUUGCUGUAGGGUGACUGAUGAUGCGGUGAUAUUUGCAAUACUUGGGAUCAUCCACCUCUUUUAGAUCUUUCACCGCGUCGCUGAGAUUCAAUGAUUCCAUCAUAGGCCCUUUCUCUACAGCCUAGAGAUCCUAUAAGCUUUCGGGGCUCUGUAGAGAUGGGAGCGGAUUCAGUGAAAUAGGAGGCUCAAGUGGUUCAUCCGCUUAUUCAAGGGAUAUUCUAAGAGGAAAGUACGCUAUUCGUCGGUGAGGGAUCUAUGGUAGCUCGUCUAUCUCUUAGCAUCGAUGGCAGGCCUACUUUUACAGCUUGAGACUUCCUUUGCCUUUGAAAGGUUGGAAUCCAGGAAUCGUGGACUAGAGCCCUUAUUCUAGGUCGAUGUGCCACCAAUACAUUCUACCUUUGAAAUCUGGCUUUACCUGGGCCGCUUCUCGACCGAGAUCCCUUCGAUGGAUGUCACCGUGCUUGUCUCUUCUCAACUGGAUUUGGCUUCUAUUUAAGACUUUUUGAAUAUUGAAUCUAACUACUAGCAUCGGUCCCGGCAAAGACCCCUCUUUCGUUCGAGCAAAGGGCGCCUAACCUGAAAGAGGAAAUAGGGGUUUUCCUCGAUGCGAAAGAGCUAGAUCAGUAGUUUAUCUGGGACGAAUUCCUUUUUACUUUUCUUAGUAAUGGUAACGAAGGUAUGCCAAGGGAAGCUCGGGCCAACCUAUGUCUCAGUAGCUGCCCGAGAAAGAACCACUCAAUCCAGACAGGUUCUCGCAACUGCCUUUCAAACAGGACCUCGAGAGGCAAGCCAUGAAAGUACCGCUAGGUAGGGAGCGAGCUCCUACUUCAUUGAAUGUCUGAUGAAAAUGGGGGCUUCCAACUGAGAUUCAUGAAGAGAAGAGAGGACCCGACGUCACAACCUGUGUCGAGCCUAUGAAAGAGUAUGCCCGAGUGGAACUGAGAAGAUCAAAUGACCCGACAGAGCAGGAAGUGACCAAGUGCAGUUGACUACAGAACCUGCCCUUUACCGUCGUUGCUAAAGCAAACAGCCAAAGCUUUCCUGUUGAUUUCGCAGGCAGCCGAUUUUUCAUGCUUUGGUCUCAUUAUCUCACCUAGCGAGACCGCCCCACCACAGAGAGCUAGGCCUGGGUGCAAGUCAACAUAAAGAUCAAAUGACCCGACAGAGCAGGAGGUGACCAAGUGCAGUUGACUACAGAACCUGCCCUUUACCGUCAUUGCUAAAGCAAACAGCCAAAGCUUUCCUGUUGAUUUUGCAGGCAGCCGAUUUUCAUGCUUUGGUCUCAUUAUCUCACCUAGCGAGACCGCCCCACCACAGAGAGCUAGGCCUGGGUGCAAGUCAACAUAUUAGAAUAUCAGACUGAUGUGGCAUUCCCGACUUGAAAAGGGUUGGUAGACUUCAAGCUGGGUCAGCUAGACCUAAGUAAGUAGGCAUCGAAGGAGGAUUGUAGUAAGGAGUUUUGCGAUUUGACUACUUUUUAGUAGAAGAACCUAGUGAGCCAAUUCCUACUCGUUCGGAGUCUUCUGUGGAGCUUUCUUCUCUGAUGCAAUUCCGAGUGGAAGAACUUCUGACUUCCCCCAAAGAGCUUAAUAGCUCUGAGUGAAGCUCCUGAGUUUCCAUUAGCCCCUUUUCUAAUUGAAGGAAGAAAGCUAUUGAGCCAAUCAUUCAAUAAAGAAAAUAAGUAAAGAAAAAGAAAGGUGAACAAGAAGGGAAUAAGCUCUCAAGCCUCGGAGGAGAGCAAUCUCUUGUGGAAAAAAGGCAAUUGCCUGGCAAGAUCCGACUAAGCCAAUCUUGAUUCUCUCUGAAUGCUUCAAAGAAGAAGAGUCAGCCGGGAAUCCAAUUUAUGCGCUUGUCUUCCUUGCUGGAUGUGGAACUGUAAUUCAUCCUCAACUGGUAGAAGAACUUCGCCUUUCUUCUUCUUCCUGAAAUGAAAUGAAGAGAAAGAAGGUGCCCGGCCUAAAAGACUGGUGGAAAAAGCUCUUUUUGUUGGUCAAGACCUUUUGUUGAACUAAGUAAGUCUGUUUUCUAAAAGAAGUAGUUUUCCUCUCA